This 104-nucleotide small nuclear RNA is filed under the name Nannospalax galili (Upper Galilee mountains blind mole rat). Lineage: Eukaryota; Metazoa; Chordata; Mammalia; Rodentia; Spalacidae. The record is from RNAcentral.
GUGUUCACAUCAGCAGCACAUAUACCCAAAUGAGAACCAUGUAAAGAUUAACAUGGCCUGUUUACAAGGAUGAUACCCAAAGUCAUGAAGCACAUUAUAUUAAA